Molecule: ribosomal RNA, 390 nt
Filed under: uncultured bacterium
Lineage: Bacteria
Description: bacterial SSU rRNA
Rfam family: Bacterial small subunit ribosomal RNA
Source: RNAcentral
AACGAACGCUGGCGGCAGGCCUAACACAUGCAAGUCGAACGCCGUAGCAAUACGGAGUGGCAGACGGGUGAGUAACGCGUGGGAACAUACCCCUCGGUUCGGAAUAACUUAGGGAAACUUGAGCUAAUACCGGAUACGUCCGAGGUUUUAACCGGCCUCGGAGAAAGAUUUAUCGCCGGAGGAUUGGCCCGCGUCUGAUUAGCUUGUUGGUGAGGUAAUGGCUCACCAAGGCGACGAUCAGAGCUGGUCUGAGAGGAUGAUCAGCCACAUUGGGACUGAGACACGGCCCAAACUCCUACGGGAGGCAGCAGUGGGGAAUAUUGGACAAUGGGCGAAAGCCUGAUCCAGCCAUGCCGCGUGAGUGAUGAAGGCCUUAGGGUUGUAAAGCUC